GAUGAACGCUGACAGAAUGCUUAACACAUGCAAGUCGACUUGAAUUUGGGUUUUUAACUUAGGUUUGGGUGGCGGACGGGUGAGUAACGCGUAAAGAACUUGCCUCACAGCUAGGGACAACAUUUGGAAACGAAUGCUAAUACCUAAUAUUAUGAUAAUAGGGCAUCCUAUAAUUAUGAAAGCUAUAAGCGCUGUGAGAGAGCUUUGCGUCCCAGUAGCUAGUUGGAGAGGUAACGGCUCACCAAGGCGAUGAUGGGUAGCCGGCCUGAGAGGGUGAUCGGCCACAAGGGGACUGAGACACGGCCCUUACUCCUACGGGAGGCAGCAGUGGGGAAUAUUGGACAAUGGACCGAGAGUCUGAUCCAGCAAUUCUGUGUGCACGAUGAAGUUUUUCGGAAUGUAAAGUGCUUUCAGUUGGGAAGAAACAAAUGACGGUACCAACAGAAGAAGUGACGGCUAAAUACGUG
Molecule: ribosomal RNA, 467 nt
Filed under: uncultured bacterium
Lineage: Bacteria
Description: partial 16S ribosomal RNA
Rfam family: Bacterial small subunit ribosomal RNA
Source: RNAcentral